UCAGAACGAACGCUGGCGGCGUGCCUAAUACAUGCAAGUCGAGCGAAUGGAUUAAGAGCUUGCUCUUAUGAAGUUAGCGGCGGACGGGUGAGUAACACGUGGGUAACCUGCCCAUAAGACUGGGAUAACUCCGGGAAACCGGGGCUAAUACCGGAUAACAUUUUGAACCGCAUGGUUCGAAAUUGAAAGGCGGCUUCGGCUGUCACUUAUGGAUGGACCCGCGUCGCAUUAGCUAGUUGGUGAGGUAACGGCUCACCAAGGCAACGAUGCGUAGCCGACCUGAGAGGGUGAUCGGCCACACUGGGACUGAGACACGGCCC
Molecule: ribosomal RNA, 320 nt
Filed under: uncultured bacterium
Lineage: Bacteria
Description: bacterial SSU rRNA
Rfam family: Bacterial small subunit ribosomal RNA
Source: RNAcentral